This 787-nucleotide non-coding RNA is filed under the name Phymata americana. The record is from RNAcentral. Lineage: Eukaryota; Metazoa; Arthropoda; Insecta; Hemiptera; Phymatidae.
AUUUUGUUUACUAUGUUAUGAGAUAAAAAAGGUUUGAUUUUGGUCUUUAAAAUUUAUUUUUGAUAAAUUUAACAUGUGAAAUUUUUUGUGAUUUUUUAUUUUCUAAAAGAAAAUUUACGAUCCUAAUCGCAGUUUUUAAUUUUAUUUUUUAAUGGGAAUUAGAAUUAGUUUUAUUUAAUAAUUUUGUCAAAUUUUGUGCCAGCAGUUGCGGUUAAACAAUUGAGGUAAAUAAAUUUUAUUGGUUUAUAUUUAGGAGUUUUUAUUUAAUUAAUAAUUUGUCAAUUUUAGGUGAAAUUUUAUUAUUUGUGUUUAAUUAAUUUUUCUGAUAUAUGAAAUUCAGGAUUUAAACUAGGAUUAGAUACCCUAUUAUUUUGAAUGUAAAUUUUAACCAUAAUAUUAAUAGUUUAAGGUCUUUAAACUAAAAGGAUUUGGCGGUAAUUUAAUCUUUCUAGAGGAACCUGUCCUGUAAUUGAUAGUCCACGUUUAAUUCUACUUUAUUUUAGCUUGUAUAUCUCUGUCAUUGAGUGUUUUAUAAGAAUAUUCUCUAUAAAUUUUAUUAGUAAAAUGACAAGUCAAGGUGCAGCAAUAAUAAAGAAGAGAUGGGUUACAUUAAAGUUAUUUUUGGAGGAUAAUAUGGAAAUUUAUCUUAAAUUGGAUUUAGAAGUAAUUUUUUUUAUUUAAAAAAUAUGAAUUUAGUUCUAAAUUAUGUACAUAUCGCCCGUCAUUCCUAUUUUUUAAAUAGGACAAGUCGUAACAAAGUAAAGUUAUCGGAAGAUGUCUUUAGAGG